UUCCCCUGAGGGAGAAACACACACUGCAAAAAAACAACAACUAAUCCAUCUAAACCAGUUAAACAUAUCACACUAUCUUAACUUUAAUCAAACGCAUGCUCAUGGAGUGUUAGUUCCCUUGUUUUGUUCAACGCACUUUAUAAUUUUAUUCGGGUCUCUUAUAUUGAGACAUUUCCAGUUUCGAAGUUACUGACUAAGCUGAAGAAAAGAAAAAAAAUUAAUUAUGCUGCAUUGGAAACAGGUGGGAUGAUCUCAUUCGUGCUGCCCGCGAGCAGAUAGUAGGCUAAAUCCUACCUGAUGCACAAACACGUCAAGCGGUUCCUCCAGUGGCACUCCCUCCCGGUUGGUCAUGGACAGGAACCCGAAGCCCAUGCGGACGUUGAACCAUUUACACACUCCGACUCCGUGGAAAGACUGUGUAUCCUCCUCGGUACUCGGUCCUUCAUCCUCCUCAGUCUUACACACUCCUGCAAUGAAAAGGUGUACCUACUUACAAAAAUAAAAUAUAAAAUCCGUAUAUAGCCCUAC
Long non-coding RNA from Micropterus dolomieu (smallmouth bass), 528 nucleotides. RefSeq lists it as uncharacterized. The transcript is spliced from 2 exons. The record is from RefSeq and is a predicted model, not a curated record. Lineage: Eukaryota; Metazoa; Chordata; Actinopteri; Centrarchiformes; Centrarchidae.